UGCAAGUCGAACGAGAGAAUUGCUAGCUUGCUAAUAAUUCUCUAGUGGCGCACGGGUGAGUAACACGUGAGUAACCUGCCCCCGAGAGCGGGAUAGCCCUGGGAAACUGGGAUUAAUACCGCAUAGUAUCGAAAGAUUAAAGCAGCAAUGCGCUUGGGGAUGGGCUCGCGGCCUAUUAGUUAGUUGGUGAGGUAACGGCUCACCAAGGCGAUGACGGGUAGCCGGUCUGAGAGGAUGUCCGGCCACACUGGAACUGAGACACGGUCCAGACACCUACGGGUGGCAGCAGUCGAGAAUCAUUCACAAUGGGGGAAACCCUGAUGGUGCGACGCCGCGUGGGGGAAUGAAGGUCUUCGGAUUGUAAACCCCUGUCAUGUGGGAGCAAAUUAAAAAGAUAGUACCACAAGAGGAAGAGACGGCUAACUCUGUGCCAGCAGCCGCGGUAAUACAGAGGUCUCAAGCGUUGUUCGGAAUCACUGGGCGUAAAGCGUGCGUAGGCUGUUUCGUAAGUCGUGUGUGAAAGGCGCGGGCUCAACCCGCGGACGGCACAUGAUACUGCGAGACUAGAGUAAUGGAGGGGGAACCGGAAUUCUCGGUGUAGCAGUGAAAUGCGUAGAUAUCGAGAGGAACACUCGUGGCGAAGGCGGGUUCCUGGACAUUAACUGACGCUGAGGCACGAAGGCCAGGGGAGCGAAAGGGAUUAGAUACCCCUGUAGUCCUGGCAGUAAACGGUGCACGCUUGGUGUGCGGGGAAUCGACCCCCUGCGUGCCGGAGCUAACGCGUUAAGCGUG
RNAcentral lists this ribosomal RNA (792 nucleotides) under uncultured bacterium. Its description in RNAcentral is "bacterial SSU rRNA". It matches the Rfam family "Bacterial small subunit ribosomal RNA", at positions 56 to 868 of the family's 1533-position model. The record is from RNAcentral.